This 424-nucleotide ribosomal RNA is filed under the name uncultured bacterium. RNAcentral's name for it is "partial 16S ribosomal RNA". It matches the Rfam family "Bacterial small subunit ribosomal RNA", at positions 360 to 776 of the family's 1533-position model. The record is from RNAcentral.
AAUCUUGGACAAUGGUCGCAAGCCUGAUCCAGCCAUGCCGCGUGAGUGAAGAAGGCCUUCUGGUUGUAAAGCUCUUUCGGACGGAAAGAAAUCGCGCAGGAUAAUACGCUGCCCGGAUCACGGCACCGUCAUAAUAAGCAUCGGCUAACAACGUGCCAGCAGCCGCGGUAAUACGUAGGGUGCGAGCGUUAAUCGGAAUUACUGUGCGUAAAGCGUGCGCAGGAGGUUGAUUAAGACAGGCGUGAAAUCCCCGGGCUUAACCCGGGAACUGCGCUUGUGACUGGUCAGCUAGAGUACGGCAGAGGGGGGUGGAAUUCCACGUGUAGCAGUGAAAUGCGUAGAGAUGUGGAGGAACACCGAUGGCGAAGGCAGCCCCCUGGGCCGAUACUGACGCUCAUGCACGAAAGCGUGGGUAGCAAACAGG